Molecule: long non-coding RNA, 1235 nt
Organism: Carassius carassius (crucian carp)
Lineage: Eukaryota; Metazoa; Chordata; Actinopteri; Cypriniformes; Cyprinidae
Exons: 2
Source: RefSeq, a predicted model, not a curated record
AUCACGGUAGCCGCUUCAGGCUCGCGGCGGGGGGUAGAGGAUUUCUGUCAUACGGCCCGGUAUAUUUUAACAAAAUAUUCAGCUGUACGAAUGAUCAUCCACAUUGCAUUCGUUGUUCAGCUAACAUCGACGAUCCAUUGUGGGAGUGGGGUGAGUGAGGGCUGCUGUGCGGAUCCCACACUGUGGAGCAGCCACACACUGAAUGGUGUCUCCCACAAUGAAGGCUUUGGUGGAUGCAGUCUGGGUGGUGUGGGGCAUCGGGGCCUCAAUCUAUGAUUACAUCCACACCAGUGCCAUGGAAGAACGCAUUCACUCACUGGAGAGUGCUAUAACCAUCCACCAGUGUGUCAUUGGCCUGCUCUCUGCUGGACUUGUGGCCCUCUUCACCUACAUUCUGCUAAGGAAGCACUGACACAAAAUUUCAGCCAUUGUUUGUGUGCAAGACUACAUCAGUGAUGGCAGAGGAAAUUGAAAUUCUGGGACCAUGUUGACGUCAAGCAAUGUUCAGAUAAUUUUAAAGGGAUUUUAGCAUGUCUGAAUUUCACCUAAUUUAUUACCGACUAAACUUUAUUAAUUUCAAAUUCUGUUGAAAUUUCCCUACGGUAUGAUCUGUUGUGAUUCAGUGUAAUCUGGUAAACCAAAAUAGGUGUGUCUCUUAAUUAAAAAUAGUAUUCCACCAUGUCCUGUAAUGGAUUUUGAGGUUGUUGUUGGCUACCACAGAUGAAAGGAUUCAGAGAUGCUACCUGCCCACAGUUCUUUACACAAGCUUGGUUACAGCCGAACAAACACAAAACAACCACUGGAUCAGCAGGCUUUUCAACCGGUUUGCGGUUAUUGUCAAGGGAGUCAGUUUGUGUGUCUUGGUUACUUUUAACAAAGCAUUCAACUUGCCAAUGACUAAGCAUAAUGUCAUUUAUUUAUUGUUAGCCUAUGACAUCUCAUACAGCUUAUUUCUUAACUCCAUUGUUAAUGAGAGACUGCGAUUAAAUUCUUUUUACAACUUGAGAGAGAACUUGAAGUGUCCUUAAUCACCAAAGAUAUCUGAUGUAGUUAACACAACGUUAUCAGUGUAUUAUCUAUUACUAUGUAUAAAUGACAACUUUUAUUUCAUGUUAAAGCUGUGACAUCAGUUAACGCACCGUUGUGUUUCAUAUUUUUACUUUUACCAUGUUUCCUUAGAAACUUUUUCCUAGUGCAAAAAAACUAAAACAAAUAAAAACUGCUAAUGAAAAUUA